This 252-nucleotide ribosomal RNA is filed under the name uncultured bacterium. Its description in RNAcentral is "partial 16S ribosomal RNA". It matches the Rfam family "Bacterial small subunit ribosomal RNA", at positions 524 to 776 of the family's 1533-position model. The record is from RNAcentral.
UACGAAGGGUGCAAGCGUUACUCGGAAUUACUGGGCGUAAAGCGUGCGUAGGUGGUUCGUUAAGUCUGAUGUGAAAGCCCUGGGCUCAACCUGGGAAUGGCAUUGGAAACUGGCGAUCUAGAGUGCGGUAGAGGGUAGUGGAAUUCCCGGUGUAGCAGUGAAAUGCGUAGAGAUCGGAGGAACAUCUGUGGCGAAGGCGACUGCCUGGGCAGUGGCUGACACUGAGGCGCGACAGCGUGGGGAGCAAACAGG